This 422-nucleotide ribosomal RNA is filed under the name uncultured Glomeraceae. RNAcentral describes it as "SSU rRNA". It matches the Rfam family "Eukaryotic small subunit ribosomal RNA", at positions 459 to 886 of the family's 1831-position model. The record is from RNAcentral. Lineage: Eukaryota; Fungi; Glomeromycota; Glomeromycetes; Glomerales; Glomeraceae.
GGGAGGUAGUGACAAUAAAUAACAAUACAGGGCUCUUACGGGUCUUGUAAUUGGAAUGAGUACAAUUUAAAUCCCUUAACGAGGAACAAUUGGAGGGCAAGUCUGGUGCCAGCAGCCGCGGUAAUUCCAGCUCCAAUAGCGUAUAUUAAAGUUGCUGCAGUUAAAAAGCUCGUAGUUGAAUUUCGGGACCAUCAUGUCGGUCGUGCCUCGGUACGUACUGGCAUCGUCGGUUUCUCCCUUCUGACGAACCAUGAUGUCAUUUAUUUGGUGUCGUGGGGAAUCAGGACUGUUACUUUGAAAAAAUUAGAGUGUUUAAAGCAGGCUCACGCUUGAAUACAUUAGCAUGGAAUAAUGAAAUAGGACGUUUGAUUCUAUUUUGUUGGUUUCUAGGAUCGACGUAAUGAUUAAUAGGGAUAGUUGGG